AGCUGUGGAAGUUCAGCUCUCAAGAAGCUCACAUCUAGGGUGCGGAGUUAGAGAAAUCAGACCGGCACAUGAUACAGAAGGGACUAGGUGCUAUGGAGAGACGUGAGCUGGGGAGGGGAUAGCCUGUGUUGGGGUGGAGGCUGCUGCUUUAGAGAGAUGAGGGAAGGCCACUGGAAUCUGAUGCUGAGCAGAGAUCAGGGAUUUUAUAUAAGGGAAGUGAGGGAGUGAGUCGUGGCCACCUGAGGAGAGCAUUCCAGGAUAAGGAAACAGCAGGUGCAAAGGCACUGCUGCAGGGAGGUGCUUGGUAUAUCCAGGGAGUGUGGAGAAGUCCCGUGUGGUGGCUGCAGAGGGAGCAGGGGGAGGAUGGUGGGAGGUGAGAAUGGAGACCUCUGAGGUAGGUCCUCGAGAGCCUUAGAGGCCACGCGAAUUGCAUGGGACCCACUGGAGGGAGCCAUUCCCAGAGCCAUGACAGGUUGGGACCUGCCUGCAAAGGACCACAUUCUGGCCGUGGGGAAGGGCAGAAGCAGGAGACCAAUUUGGAGGCUGGGACCUGGGGCCUGGGGCCUAGGACAGGCAUGGUGAGCAGUGGUCAGUUUCUGAAUCCAUUCUCAGGGUAGACACAAUAGGACUGGUGAUUGAUUGAAUAUGAGAUGUGAGACAAAGACAAAUGCCAAGGACGGCUCCAAGGGUUUUUCCUGAACAGCUGCCAGGAUGAAGUUGGCAUUUAUUUAGGUGGAGGAAGAAAGGAAGGAGCAGGUUUGGGAGCUGGAGAUAGAGAUUCGUUUUUGAAAGUGUUAAUUUGAGAUGUUCAAUUAGACACAGAGUGGAGAUGCCAAAUAGACAAUUAUACAGGAGUCUGGUGCUGAGUGUUGAGGUCUGGGAUGGAGACAUCACCCUGAGGGUCCUUGGCAUUUAAAUGCUGUUUAAAACCAGGAGGCUAGAUGAGCUCACCAAGGGAGAGGGAAGGGAUAGAAGAGGGAGAGGGUCUGAGGACUCAGCCCUGGAGCAUAGAUAAUUAACAGGCAGAUGGGGAGAAACUGGGAGAGGGGACUGAGAAGGAACAGCAGGCAAGAGAAAGAGGGCUAAGGGAGAGCCAUGACCUACAAUCAGGUCAAGAAGCAUUUCUACAGGAGAGAUUUAUGCUGCCGAUCUUCCAAUAGAUCAAGUAGCGUGGAGACCACUGAGACCCAGCCACUGGAGACCAUUAGCCUAGGGAGGUCAUUGGUGUCCUUGCCAAGCCCUGUUUUGGUUCUGGGUCCAGGAGACAGAGUGUAGUCAGAGGAGAGGAAUCACAGACAGCCCAGUGCAGACAACAGGCAACUCUUUCAAGGAGUCAUCUUAUAAAGGUGCGUGGACACUCAGAGGAAACCUGGGGUAGGGAGAGGGUAGAGGGUGGGUGGUGGCGGAGUUCAUUUAAAUGUGUUUGGUUUUUAGUGGGCAGUAUGACCACAUUUUUUAUGCUGAUGGGAUUCAUUCUGGAGAGAAAGACACACUGGUGAUGUAGGAGUGAUACCUUAGACCAUUCACAUGUUGGACUAAUUAGCAGUCACUGCAUGUGUUAAGAGAGAGGAGUUGGGGUUGUUCAAGAACUCCUGUAAAUGGAGAGCACCUGGCUAAGGGAGGGGCUGGUACAAAUGGCUUAUAAGCAUUCAAAAUAAAUGUAUUGGGG
Molecule: long non-coding RNA, 1669 nt
Filed under: Homo sapiens (human)
Lineage: Eukaryota; Metazoa; Chordata; Mammalia; Primates; Hominidae
Description: HSALNT0383635
Source: RNAcentral